Alosa sapidissima (American shad) is the source of this 1453-nucleotide long non-coding RNA. RefSeq lists it as uncharacterized. The transcript has 3 exons. NCBI's taxonomy places the organism in Eukaryota, Metazoa, Chordata, Actinopteri, Clupeiformes, Clupeidae. The record is from RefSeq and is a predicted model, not a curated record.
GAUGUAGAACCCCAUAUCAGUUUGACCUGGCUACACCAGCGAUAACACUGUGAGGGAGCUUUCUGCUGGAGAUUCUGUACUUAUUCAUCAUCUGUUUUCAUAAUUGCUUGAUGUUGUUAAUCCAGUGUUUCCUUCGUCUAUUACUACAAAAGGACUAAAGAGAAGUCUAUUUCAAACAUCUAUAGACCAAAUAGAAGCCUAUUUGAAGAUGGAGGUGAGAGGAGAGGUGAGAGGAGAACGUGGCUGCUUCAUGAAAGCAACGAGAGCCAUCUUCAACACCAUCAGAAACCGGCUCACACCAAGGAGAGCACGACAGAGGACGACAGAGGACCGCAGAAACCUGAAGAAACAGUCAUUUGGGCUGAACACCAGGUUGACCAAGAGAAAACACUCAGCUAACGUUAGAACUGCUAACAUGGACACUGCUGAGAGAAGGGUGCAGGAAGAUGAACUCAAAGAAAGACUAAAAUCUUCUCUACAGACUUUUCGAGUGAGGCGCAAGCCACACUGGGUGCUCCAGAGAGGCUGGGGACAAAACAACAUGGAUGACCUAAACAUGGAUGACACUCAGGCCGGAGAGGAUCUUCAGCCUGCUGAACCAGCCAAUGAGAAUGCAAAUAACAUAGACCUCAAACUAUACUGGGCAUAACAUUGACCAUAAAUUGCUUAUUCAUGCCCACAGUUAACACCGACAUUGAUAUUGAGAAAGAUUAAUACAUUUCAAAUGUUGCUGCCUGUUUGACUCGAAUGUUGUUAUUGUUGUUGUCACAGCAAGUUCUGGCUCCAGCUACCAUGUCCCAGCUGAAUGGACUCUUGACCACCUGAUGCUGGAGCAGAGUUCAUCUGCAAACAAGGAGGGACCAGUCAGUGAGAGGGCAAACAUGGAGGAGACUGAGGCCGGAGAGGAUGUGCAGCCUGGUGAACCAGCAAGCAAGAAUACAAAUAGCACAGACCUCACACUGCUAACUUAUACUCACAGUUUACCUUUUAUGAGAAUAGCAUAGACAGACCAUAAACUGCUUAGUCAUAGCCACAGUUAACUUGUUUAUUUUUUUUUCUAACAGGCUGGGUUGUGGCCUAUGGCCAGAUGUGGCGGGAAAUGAUAGAGCAGCAUGGUCCUGUACUUUGCAGCAACAUGCCCUUAAUACUCUGGCUCUGGCUCCAGUUACCGUCCCAGCUGAAUGGGGCCUUGACCACCUAAUUGCUUAACCUAGCAAAUGAUCAUGGGAACACCUCUAAUUAUAGGUGGCUGGGAUUUGUGAACAUUGUUAGGUAGAGCAUGGGGAGCAGGACAGGCCUUAUCAUUGUGGACAGCCAAGAAACAUCUACUGUCAAGCAACAUCUACAGCCCCUCAACUGACCUACAUUAUUACAUUAUUUUCAUUACUACUGUAUUACAUUGAUAUCUCAUUAAGACUCAACAUCAAAUAAAUACGUUUACAUACAGAUUAAA